This 343-nucleotide unclassified non-coding RNA is filed under the name soil metagenome. RNAcentral's name for it is "partial contains 5.8S ribosomal RNA, internal transcribed spacer 2, and large subunit ribosomal RNA". The stretch from base 1 to 117 matches the Rfam family "5.8S ribosomal RNA", at positions 35 to 154 of the family's 154-position model. The record is from RNAcentral.
GAUGAGACGCAGCGAAAUGCGAUACGUAAUGUGAAUUGCAAAUUCAGUGAAUCAUCGAGUCUUUGAACGCACAUUGCGCCCCCUGGUAUUCCGGGGGGCAUGCCUGUCCGAGCGUCAUUGCUGCCCUCAAGCACGGCUUGUGUGUUGGGCCCCGUCCUCCGAUCCCGGGGGACGGGCCCGAAAGGCAGCGGCGGCACCGCGUCCGGUCCUCGAGCGUAUGGGGCUUUGUCACCCGCUCUGUAGGCCCGGCCGGCGCUUGCCGAUCAACCCAAAUUUUUAUCCAGGUUGACCUCGGAUCAGGUAGGGAUACCCGCUGAACUUAAGCAUAUCAAUAAGCGGAGGA